This 73-nucleotide transfer RNA is filed under the name Croceitalea vernalis. RNAcentral describes it as "tRNA-Gly". It matches the Rfam family "tRNA". Rfam says of the family: Transfer RNA (tRNA) molecules are approximately 80 nucleotides in length. Their secondary structure includes four short double-helical elements and three loops (D, anti-codon, and T loops). RNAcentral also lists the same sequence under 1 other name. The record is from RNAcentral. Lineage: Bacteria; Pseudomonadati; Bacteroidota; Flavobacteriia; Flavobacteriales; Flavobacteriaceae.
GCGAAAAUAGCUCAGCUGGUAGAGCAUCACCUUGCCAAGGUGGAGGUCGCGGGUUCAAGUCCCGUUUUUCGCU